RNAcentral lists this long non-coding RNA (273 nucleotides) under Mustela putorius furo (domestic ferret). RNAcentral describes it as "lncRNA (ENSMPUG00000027713.1)". The record is from RNAcentral. Lineage: Eukaryota; Metazoa; Chordata; Mammalia; Carnivora; Mustelidae.
CGCUGUGGUCGGCCACCGGUUACCGCAUAAGCCAAGCCCUUGAUCUGCCGUGUUUGAGGAAAUUCUUUGUUCCUUUCAAGCCUCUAUUCUCUCAGCUGGGGCUGGUGCAUAGACCGAAGCAGAAUUACUGGGCCAAAGCAGAGCUGUGGUCGGCUCCUGUGAGCUUCUCUGUGCUUUCCAAACGGUGACCGCGAACCCACGUUGCAUAAGGUAAUGGAAAGACCGUCAUCCACCAGACGGCCUGGUGGCGAAUGAAGUACAUUGUCUGGGUCU